RNAcentral lists this ribosomal RNA (216 nucleotides) under Salmonella enterica subsp. enterica serovar Ohio. RNAcentral describes it as "partial 23S ribosomal RNA". It matches the Rfam family "Bacterial large subunit ribosomal RNA", at positions 2727 to 2925 of the family's 2925-position model. Lineage: Bacteria; Pseudomonadati; Pseudomonadota; Gammaproteobacteria; Enterobacterales; Enterobacteriaceae. The record is from RNAcentral.
UGCCAAUGGCACUGCCCGGUAGCUAAAUGCGGAAGAGAUAAGUGCUGAAAGCAUCUAAGCACGAAACUUGCCCCGAGAUGAGUUCUCCCUGAGACUUUAGAUCUCCUGAAGGAACGUUGAAGACGACGACGUUGAUAGGCCGGGUGUGUAAGCGCAGCGAUGCGUUGAGCUAACCGGUACUAAUGAACCGUGAGGCUUAACCUUACAACGCCGAAG